Molecule: ribosomal RNA, 433 nt
Filed under: uncultured bacterium
Lineage: Bacteria
Description: partial 16S ribosomal RNA
Rfam family: Bacterial small subunit ribosomal RNA
Source: RNAcentral
AACGAACGCUGGCGGCAUGCCUAACACAUGCAAGUCGAACGAGACCUUCGGGUCUAGUGGCGCACGGGUGCGUAACGCGUGGGAACCUGCCCUUAGGUUCGGAAUAACUCCCCGAAAGGGGUGCUAAUACCGGAUAAUGUCUUCGGACCAAAGAUUUUUCGCCUUUGGAUGGGCCCGCGUUGGUUUAGCUAGUUGGUAGGGUAAAAGCCUACCAAGGCGAUGAUCCAUAGCUGGUGUGAGAGGAUGAUCAGCCACACUGGGAAUGAGACACGGACCAGACUCCUACGGAAGGCAGCAGUGGAGAAUAUUGGACAAUGGGCGAAAGCCUGAUCCAGCAAUGCCGCGUGAGUGAUGAAGGCCUUAGGGUUGUAAAGCUCUUUUACCCGGGAUGAUAAUGACAGUACCGGGAGAAUAAGCUCCGGCUAACUCCGUG